Molecule: ribosomal RNA, 501 nt
Filed under: uncultured bacterium
Lineage: Bacteria
Description: partial 16S ribosomal RNA
Rfam family: Bacterial small subunit ribosomal RNA
Source: RNAcentral
AUUGAACGCUGGCGGCAGGCUUAACACAUGCAAGUCGAGCGGAGCGAGGGUGCUUGCACCUUAGCUUAGCGGCGGACGGGUGAGUAAUGCUUAGGAAUCUGCCUAUUAGUGGGGGACAACAUUCCGAAAGGAAUGCUAAUACCGCAUACGCCCUACGGGGGAAAGCAGGGGAUCUUCGGACCUUGCGCUAAUAGAUGAGCCUAAGUCGGAUUAGCUAGUUGGUGGGGUAAAGGCCUACCAAGGCGACGAUCUGUAGCGGGUCUGAGAGGAUGAUCAGGCACACUGGGACUGAGACACGGCCCAGGCUCCUACGGGAGGCAGCAGUGGGGAAUAUUGGACAAUGGGGGGAACCCUGAUCCGGCCAUGCCGCGUGUGUGAAGAAGGCCUUUUGGUUGUAAAGCACUUUAAGCGAGGAGGAGGCUACCGAGAUUAAUACUCUUGGAUAGUGGACGUUACUCGCAGAAUAAGCACCGGCUAACUCUGUGCCAGCCGCCGCCGUAA